UAUGUGAUCGUCUCUCGCAUAUCAAUAAGCGGAGGAAAAGAAACUAACAAGGAUUCCCCUAGUAACGGCGAGUGAAGCGGGAAGAGCUCAAAUUUGAAAUCUUAAAGGGUUUCCCUUUACGAAUUGUAGUUUAAAGAAGUGUUUUCUGUUGAGGUUUUGGUAAAAGUUCUUUGGAAUAGGACAUCAUAGAGGGUGAGAAUCCCGUAUUUGACCUUUACUUUCAACUUUGUGAUACACUUUCAAAGAGUCGGAUUGUUUGGGAAUGCAGUCCAAAAUGGGUGGUAAAUUUCAUCUAAAGCUAAAUAUUGGCGAGAGACCGAUAGCGAACCAGUACCGUGAGGGAAAGAUGAAAAGAACUUUGAAAAGAGAGUUAAACAGUACGUGAAAUUGUCAAAAGGGAAGCGUUUGACACCAGUGUUGUUUUUCUGAAAAUCAAUUAAAGAACUGUUUAUGCUAAGCUUGUUUAGACUUUAUCAGCUAUCUGUUUAGUUUUGAGCUUUUCUUUAAUGCACUUUUCAGUUAACAAGUCAACAUCAAUUUCUUUUGCUGUAAAAAAGCUUGAGGAAGGUGGCUUGAGAUUCGUCUUAAGUGUUUAUAGCCUCUUGCCUAUGCAGUCGGAGAGAUUGAGGUCUGCAGCGUAGAUCCUUCGGGGCUAAAUGCAUUUGUGCUAAGUUAUAGCAUUUUAUAGACAACUUGUUGACUAUGAUUUGUCUUGUAGCUUACUCGCUUAUGUUAUUUUACCUACGCUUAGGAUGUUGAUCUACAGAGCGAGAGU
Molecule: ribosomal RNA, 775 nt
Filed under: uncultured Neocallimastigales
Lineage: Eukaryota; Fungi; Neocallimastigomycota; Neocallimastigomycetes; Neocallimastigales
Description: partial large subunit ribosomal RNA
Rfam family: Eukaryotic large subunit ribosomal RNA
Source: RNAcentral